This 325-nucleotide ribosomal RNA is filed under the name uncultured eukaryote. RNAcentral's name for it is "partial 18S ribosomal RNA". It matches the Rfam family "Eukaryotic small subunit ribosomal RNA", at positions 1470 to 1796 of the family's 1831-position model. The record is from RNAcentral.
CCCUUAGAUGUCCUGGGCCGCACGCGCGCUACACUGAUGCAUUCAACGAGUAUUUCCUUGGCCGAGAGGCCUGGGCAAUCUUUUAAACCUGCAUCGUGAUAGGGAUAGAUUAUUGCAAUUAUUAAUCUUGAACGAGGAAUUCCUAGUAAACGCAAAUCAUCAAUUUGCAUUGAUUACGUCCCUGCCCUUUGUACACACCGCCCGUCGCACCUACCGAUUGAAAGGUCCGGUGAAAUCUCGGGAUUGUGGCCAGUUCACUUUAUUGGGAGUUGGCUGCGAGAACUUGCUUAAACCUUAUCAUUUAGAGGAAGGUGAAGUCGUAACA